CACGACUUCAGGCUCGACAUCUUCGGCAGCUCCUAGGCAGAUAUGUUGUUGUGUACCUGGAAUAAUCAUUGAUGAAGGUCAGUAAACAUCUGUUCCUGCCUGCUUUGGGGGUUUUCAUUGGUCCACACACGUCACUGUGUAUGAGUUCCAUGAGGGGUGGUGCUGAAGAACGUCUGGAACGCCUCAUGUUGAAAAAGAAGAAUUGAUGGAGAGAAGAGAGAACAACUUGUCAGCUUUCUGUCCAGGAUAAAAGGGAAACAGAAAUUGCAGGCAUCAGCAUAAAAAAACCCGGAUCUUGUUAUGCUGUUAUGGUUUAGCCGAUCUGCCCAUUGUAUGACCUGCAGCAUCUCCAUUCCCAGCUCAGCCCAUGACGUACACUGAAUUCGCCCUCUGCAUUCCCCCCUCAACCAUUAAACACCUUUCCUGUCACGGCCCACC
Molecule: long non-coding RNA, 438 nt
Organism: Bombina bombina (fire-bellied toad)
Lineage: Eukaryota; Metazoa; Chordata; Amphibia; Anura; Bombinatoridae
Exons: 4
Source: RefSeq, a predicted model, not a curated record